Molecule: ribosomal RNA, 476 nt
Filed under: Enterococcus faecalis
Lineage: Bacteria; Bacillati; Bacillota; Bacilli; Lactobacillales; Enterococcaceae
Description: partial 23S ribosomal RNA
Rfam family: Bacterial large subunit ribosomal RNA
Source: RNAcentral
GAGAAAUUCCGUCGGAAUCCGCGGGGACCAUCCCGCAAGGCUAAAUACUCCCUAGUGACCGAUAGUGAACCAGUACCGUGAGGGAAAGGUGAAAAGCACCCCGGAAGGGGAGUGAAAUAGAUCCUGAAACCGUGUGCCUACAACAAGUCAAAGCUCGUUAAUGAGUGAUGGCGUGCCUUUUGUAGAAUGAACCGGCGAGUUACGAUUGCAUGCGAGGUUAAGUCGAAGAGACGGAGCCGCAGCGAAAGCGAGUCUGAAUAGGGCGAAUGAGUAUGUAGUCGUAGACCCGAAACCAUGUGAUCUACCCAUGUCCAGGUUGAAGGUGCGGUAAAACGCACUGGAGGACCGAACCCACGUACGUUGAAAAGUGCGGGGAUGAGGUGUGGGUAGCGGAGAAAUUCCAAACGAACUUGGAGAUAGCUGGUUCUCUCCGAAAUAGCUUUAGGGCUAGCCUCGGAAUUGAGAAUGAUGGAGGU